UACGGAGGGAGCUAGCGUUGUUCGGAAUUACUGGGCGUAAAGCGCGCGUAGGCGGACCUGCAAGUCGGGGGUGAAAGCCCGAGGCUCAACCUCGGAACUGCCUUCGAUACUGCGGGUCUCGAGUCCGGGAGAGGUGAGUGGAAUUCCUAGUGUAGAGGUGAAAUUCGUAGAUAUUAGGAAGAACACCAGUGGCGAAGGCGGCUCACUGGCUCGGUACUGACGCUGAGGCGCGAAAGCGUGGGGAGCAAACAGG
This 253-nucleotide ribosomal RNA is filed under the name uncultured bacterium. Its description in RNAcentral is "partial 16S ribosomal RNA". It matches the Rfam family "Bacterial small subunit ribosomal RNA", at positions 524 to 776 of the family's 1533-position model. The record is from RNAcentral.